Molecule: ribosomal RNA, 492 nt
Filed under: uncultured bacterium
Lineage: Bacteria
Description: partial 16S ribosomal RNA
Rfam family: Bacterial small subunit ribosomal RNA
Source: RNAcentral
AUUGAACGCUGGCGGCAUGCUUUACACAUGCAAGUCGAACGGUAACAGGCCUUCGGGUGCUGACGAGUGGCGAACGGGUGAGUAAUGCAUCGGAACGUACCCAGAGGUGGGGGAUAACGCAGCGAAAGCUGUGCUAAUACCGCAUGUGACCUGAGGAUGAAAGCGGGGGACCGAGCAGCAAUGUUUGGCCUCGCGCCUUUGGAGCGGCCGAUGUCGGAUUAGCUAGUUGGUGGGGUAAAGGCCUACCAAGGCGACGAUCCGUAGCUGGUCUGAGAGGACGACCAGCCACACUGGGACUGAGACACGGCCCAGACUCCUACGGGAGGCAGCAGUGGGGAAUUUUGGACAAUGGGCGCAAGCCUGAUCCAGCAAUGCCGCGUGCGGGAAGAAGGCCUUCGGGUUGUAAACCGCUUUUGGCAGGAACGAAACGGUGUCCGCUAAUACCGGGCGCUAAUGACGGUACCUGCAGAAUAAGCACCGGCUAACUACGUG